UACACACCGCCCGUCAAGUCAACCGAGUCGAGUGCACCCGAAGUCGCUGUACCAACCCGCAAGGGAAGAAAGCGCCGAAGGUGUGCUUGGUGAGAGGGACUAAGUCGUAAACAAGGUACC
This 120-nucleotide ribosomal RNA is filed under the name uncultured bacterium. RNAcentral's name for it is "partial 16S ribosomal RNA". It matches the Rfam family "Bacterial small subunit ribosomal RNA", at positions 1384 to 1500 of the family's 1533-position model. The record is from RNAcentral.